UUCGAUCAUGGCUCAGAUUGAACGCUGGCGGGAUGCUUUUACACAGUAAGUCGAACGGCAGCACGGACUUCGGUCUGGUGGCGAGUGGCGAACGGGUGAGUAAUGUAUCGGAACGUGCCUAGUAAGGGGAUAACUACGCGAAAGCGUAGCCAAUACCGCAUACGCCCUUCGGGGGAAAGCGGGGGACCUCGGGCCUCGCACUAUUAGAGCGGCCGAUAUCGGAUUAGCUAGUUGCGGGGUAACGGCUCACCAGCACGAUCCGUAGCUGGUUUGAGAGGACGACCAGCCACACUGGGACUGAGACACGGCCCAGACUCCUACGGGAGGCAGCAGUGGGGAAUUUGACAAUGGGGGAAACCCUGAUCCAGCCACACUUCAGCGUAAAGAUGAAGGCCUUCGGGUUGCAAAGCACUUGGCAGAAAGAAACGGCACGGGAUAAUACCUCGUGCAACUGACGGUACCUGCAGAAUAAGUACCGGCUAACUACGUGCCAGCAGCCGCGGUAAUACGUAGGGUGUAAGCGUUAAUCGGAAUUACUGGGCGAAGCGUGCGUGAGUAUCUGGCGAAGAUGUGAAAUCCCAGAGCUUAACUUUGAACUGCAUUUUUGCACCAUCGAGCUAGAGCGUGUCAGAGGGAGGUGGAAUUCCGCGCGGUAGUAGUGAAAUGGUGAUAUGCGGAGGAACACCGAUGGCAGCAGCUUCCGGGAUAACACUGACGCUCAUGCACGAAAGUGGGGAGCAAACAGGAUUAGAUACCCUGGUAGUCCACGCCCUAAACGAUGUCAACUAGCUGUUGGGGCCUUCGGGCUUUGGUAGCGCAGCUAACGCUGGUGAAGCUGACCGUCUGGGGAGUGCCGGUCGCAAGAUUAAAACUCAAAGGAAUUGAUGGAAUCGCACAAGCGGUGGAUGAUGUGGAUUAAUUCGAUGCAACGCGAAAACCUUACCUACCCUUGACAUGUCUGGAAUCCCGAAGAGAUUUGGGAGUGCCUGCAAGAGAACCGGAACACAGGUGCUGUGCGGCUGUCGUCAGCUCGUGUCGUGAGAUGCGCUGGCAGCCCCGCAACGAGCGCAACCUUGUCAUUAGUUGCUACGAAAGGGCACUCUAAUGAGACUGCCGGUGACAAACUGGAGGAAGGUAAGAGAUGACGUCAAGUCCUCAUGGCUCCCGCAGGGUAGGGCUUCAUUAGUCGUCAUGUUGUACCGGUCGGGACAGAGGGUCGCCAACUGCGAGGGGGAGCCGAAUCCCAGAAACCCGAUCGUAGUCCGGAUCGCAGUCUGCAACUCGACUGCGUGAAGUCGGAAUCAAGGCACUCGCAGAUCAUACAAAGUUGCAGUAGUCACGUUCCCGGGUUCGUACACCGCCCACCACCAUGGGAGCAAUACCAGCAGCGGCUCAACCGUAAGAGGCGCGAUACCACUUGUAGAUUCGCGACUGGGGUGAAGUCGUAACAAGGCAG
This 1456-nucleotide ribosomal RNA is filed under the name uncultured Bordetella sp. RNAcentral's name for it is "partial 16S-23S ribosomal RNA intergenic spacer". It matches the Rfam family "Bacterial small subunit ribosomal RNA". Lineage: Bacteria; Pseudomonadati; Pseudomonadota; Betaproteobacteria; Burkholderiales; Alcaligenaceae. The record is from RNAcentral.